RNAcentral lists this ribosomal RNA (729 nucleotides) under uncultured archaeon. RNAcentral's name for it is "bacterial SSU rRNA". It matches the Rfam family "Archaeal small subunit ribosomal RNA", at positions 593 to 1324 of the family's 1478-position model. The record is from RNAcentral.
UUGGGACCGGGAGAGGUCAGAGGUACUCCAGGGGUAGGGGCUAAAUCCUGUAAUUCCUUGGGGGACCACCAGUGGCGAAGGCGUCUGACUAGAACGGAUCCGACGGUAAGGGACGAAACCCUGGGGCGCGAACCGGAUUAGAUACCCGGGUAGUCCAGGGCGUAAACGCUGCAGGCUUGGUGUUGGGGACCCUACGAGGGUGCCCAGUGCCGGAGUGAAGAUGUUAAGCCUGCCGCUUGGGGAGUACGUCCGCAAGGAUGAAACUUAAAGGAAUUGGCGGGAGAGCACAGCAACGGGAGGAGCGUGCGGUUCAAUUGGAUUCAACGCCGGAAAACUCACCGGGAGCGACGAUUACAUGAAGGUCAAGCCGAUGACUUUACCUGAUUUUUCGAGAGGUGGUGCAUGGCCGUCGUCAGUUCGUACCGUAAGGCGUUCUGUUAAGUCAGAUAACGAACGAGACCCUCGCCCUUAAUUGCUAGUUCAUUCUCCGGAAUGAGCGCACAUUAAGGGGACCGCUGGCGCUAAGUCAGAGGAAGGAGAGGUCAACGGUAGGUCAGUAUGCCCCGAAUCUCCCGGGCUACACGCGCGCUACAAAGGAUAGGACAAUGGGCUGCGACACCGAGAGGUGAAGCUAAUCCCGAAACCUAUUCGUAGCUCGGACUGAGGGCUGUAACUCGCCCUCACGAAGCUGGAUUCCGUAGUAAUNNCGGUCAACAUCCCGCGGGAAUA